RNAcentral lists this ribosomal RNA (279 nucleotides) under uncultured bacterium. RNAcentral describes it as "partial 16S ribosomal RNA". It matches the Rfam family "Bacterial small subunit ribosomal RNA", at positions 29 to 334 of the family's 1533-position model. The record is from RNAcentral.
AACGAACGCUGGCGGCAGGCUUAACACAUGCAAGUCGAGCGCCCUCUUUUAGAGGGAGCGGCAGACGGGUGAGUAACGCGUGGGAAUCUACCUAUCUCUAGGGAAUAACUCAGGGAAACUUGUGCUAAUACCCUAUACGCCCUUUUGGGGAAAGAUUUAUCGGAGAUAGAUGAGCCCGCGUUGGAUUAGCUAGUUGGUGGGGUAAAGGCCUACCAAGGCGACGAUCCAUAGCUGGUCUGAGAGGAUGAUCAGCCACACUGGGACUGAGACACGGCCCAG